GCAGUUAGCUCAGUUGGUUAGAGCGUGGUGCUAAUAACGCCAAGGUCGCGAGUUCGACCCUCGUAGUGACCA
Molecule: transfer RNA, 72 nt
Filed under: Venturia inaequalis
Lineage: Eukaryota; Fungi; Ascomycota; Dothideomycetes; Venturiales; Venturiaceae
Description: tRNA-Ile
Rfam family: tRNA
About the family: Transfer RNA (tRNA) molecules are approximately 80 nucleotides in length. Their secondary structure includes four short double-helical elements and three loops (D, anti-codon, and T loops).
Source: RNAcentral